GCCCUUCUUCGGGGGGUGCCCUAGCGGCGAACGGGUGAGUAACACGUGGGCAACCUGCCCUCAGCUCUGGGAUAACUCCAAGAAAUUGGUGCUAAUACCGGAUGUGACCGCUGACCGCAUGGUCUGGUGGUGGAAAGAUUCAUCGGCUGAGGAUGGGCCCGCGGCCUAUCAGCUUGUUGGUGGGGUAAUGGCCCACCAAGGCGACGACGGGUAGCCGGCCUGAGAGGGUGACCGGCCACACUGGGACUGAGACACGGCCCAGACUCCUACGGGAGGCAGCAGUGGGGAAUAUUGCGCAAUGGGCGAAAGCCUGACGCAGCGACGCCGCGUGAGGGAUGACGGCCUUCGGGUUGUAAACCUCUUUCAGUAGGGACGAAGCGCAAGUGACGGUACCUACAGAAGAAGCACCGGCCAACUACGUGCCAGCAGUCGCGGUAAUACGUAGGGUGCAAGCGUUGUCCGGAAUUAUUGGGCGUAAAGAGCUCGUAGGCGGUCUGUCACGUCGGCUGUGAAAACCCGAGGCUCAACCUCGGGCCUGCAGUCGAUACGGGCAAACUAGAGUACUGCAGGGGAGACUGGAAUUCCUGGUGUAGCGGUGAAAUGCGCAGAUAUCAGGAGGAACACCGGUGGCGAAGGCGGGUCUCUGGGCAGUAACUGACGCUGAGGAGCGAAAGCGUGGGGAGCGAACAGG
Molecule: ribosomal RNA, 691 nt
Filed under: uncultured Actinomycetes bacterium
Lineage: Bacteria; Bacillati; Actinomycetota; Actinomycetes
Description: bacterial SSU rRNA
Rfam family: Bacterial small subunit ribosomal RNA
Source: RNAcentral